UGGCGGACGGGUGAGUAAUGUCUGGGAAACUGCCCGAUGGAGGGGGAUAACUACUGGAAACGGUAGCUAAUACCGCAUAACGUCGCAAGACCAAAGAGGGGGACCUUAGGGCCUCUUGCCAUCGGAUGUGCCCAGAUGGGAUUAGCUAGUAGGUGGGGUAAUGGCUCACCUAGGCGACGAUCCCUAGCUGGUCUGAGAGGAUGACCAGCCACACUGGAACUGAGGCACGGUCCAG
RNAcentral lists this ribosomal RNA (235 nucleotides) under uncultured bacterium. RNAcentral describes it as "partial 16S ribosomal RNA". It matches the Rfam family "Bacterial small subunit ribosomal RNA", at positions 96 to 334 of the family's 1533-position model. The record is from RNAcentral.